GAUGAAGAACGUAGCGAAAUGCGAUAAGUAGUGUGAAUUGCAGAAUUCAGUGAAUCAUCGAAUCUUUGAACGCACAUUGCGCCCCCUGGUAUUCCGGGGGGCAUGCCUGUUCGAGCGUCAUUUCACCACUCAAGCCUCGCUUGGUAUUGGGCAACGCGGUCCGCCGCGUGCCUCAAAUCGACCGGCUGGGUCUUCUGUCCCCUAAGCGUUGUGGAAACUUUCGCUAAAGGGUGUUCGGGAGGCUACGCCGUAAAACAACCCCAUUUCUAAGGUUGACCUCGGAUCAGGUAGGGAUACCCGCUGAAUUUAAGCAUAUCAAUAAGCGGAGGA
RNAcentral lists this unclassified non-coding RNA (330 nucleotides) under soil metagenome. Its description in RNAcentral is "partial contains 5.8S ribosomal RNA, internal transcribed spacer 2, and large subunit ribosomal RNA". The stretch from base 1 to 120 matches the Rfam family "5.8S ribosomal RNA", at positions 35 to 154 of the family's 154-position model. The record is from RNAcentral.